GGAGUAUUGCACAAUGGGCGAAAGCCUGAUGCAGCAACGCCGCGUGAGGGAUGACGGCCUUCGGGUUGUAAACCUCUUUUAGUAGGGAAGAAGCGACAGUGACGGUACCUGCAGAAAAAGCACCGGCUAACUACGUGCCAGCAGCCGCGGUAAUACGUAGGGUGCAAGCGUUGUCCGGAAUGAUUGGGUGUAAGGAGCUCGUAGGCGGUUUGUCGCGUCUGCUGUGAAAUCUGGGGGCUCAACCCCCAGCCUGCAGUGGGUACGGGCAGACUAGAGUGCGGUAGGGGAGAUUGGAAUUCCUGGUGUAGCGGUGGAAUGCGCAGAUAUCAGGAGGAACACCGAUGGCGAAGGCAGAUCUCUGGGCCGUAACUGACGCUGAGGAGCGAAAGCAUGGGGAGCGAAC
This 403-nucleotide ribosomal RNA is filed under the name uncultured bacterium. Its description in RNAcentral is "bacterial SSU rRNA". It matches the Rfam family "Bacterial small subunit ribosomal RNA", at positions 358 to 773 of the family's 1533-position model. The record is from RNAcentral.